GUGGGGAAUAUUGCGCAAUGGGCGAAAGCCUGACGCAGCGACGCCGCGUGAGGGAUGACUGCCUUCGGGUUGUAAACCUCUUUCGGUAGGGAUGAAGCCUUCGGGUGACAGUACCUGCAGAAGAAGCACCGGCUAACUACGUGCCAGCAGCCGCGGUAACACGUAGGGUGCGAGCGUUGUCCGGAAUUAUUGGGCGUAAAGAGCUCGUAGGCGGUCCGUCACGUCGGAUGUGAAAUUCCAGGGCUCAACCCUGGACCUGCAUUCGAUACGGGCGGACUAGAGUUCGGUAGGGGAGACUGGAAUUCCUGGUGUAGCGGUGAAAUGCGCAGAUAUCAGGAGGAACACCGGUGGCGAAGGCGGGUCUCUGGGCCGAUACUGACGCUGAGGAGCGAAAGCGUGGGGAGCGAACAGGAUUAGAAACCCCAGUAGUCC
RNAcentral lists this ribosomal RNA (432 nucleotides) under uncultured bacterium. Its description in RNAcentral is "bacterial SSU rRNA". It matches the Rfam family "Bacterial small subunit ribosomal RNA", at positions 354 to 796 of the family's 1533-position model. The record is from RNAcentral.